CUUGAUGGAGUUGACUCUUGACCAAUAACAGUUAAAAACUCUACAAUAUAAGAUAGUGGAAGUCUUACUAGGUUCAAGGCAUUGAGGAAACAAGAGGGAUCUAUAUGGUAGUGAGCCAGGACAGCCUCAAGAGACCUGGAUUUGAGUUCUGAUACUGCUGAUGACCUGCAUUAUAGAUACGAAAUUUAAAGAUGAAGGACAAGGCAUUGCCAAGCACAGUGGAACAGAAGAUUUGCUCUCGUGUGUGAGGGACGGUCAGGAAGAACAAGCUCUUCUCACAGUUUCUGUGAUACUGGCUCAUUGUGGCUUCUGUGAAUACGGGGGAAAUUCCUGGCAUAUUCCUGGACCAAGACAUUUGAAGGCCCCUCAGUGACUGAAAAUGGGACUGAACCUUUCUUGAAAGUACAUGAACUGUGAAUCUGAGAGUAAAAUUUACUUUUCACUAUGGGAAAAAAAAUAGUGCUGUCUUGGCUUUCUGCAUGUUUUUUUCUUUAGGGCAAUGUAUCACAUGCAUUUUUGUCUUUACACAGUAAAAGCAUGGAGUGAUAGUGUCUGACAUGGAGCUGUUGUUCCUUCAAGUUUUCCUUAUUUUGGAGUUCCUGCUUUAUUGAGGAAGCUGUACCAAUCAGGGCACCCCUUCUAAUGUUAGACCAUGAAAAAGAAAGAAAGAGGAGUGCAUCAAGUGUUUUGGGACUGAGGCCUCUAGGGAAGAAGUAUUAACUUUAUUUUGCCAAUCUUCUAUUGUAGCAUUGACUUUGUCUCUUUAACUUCAGAAUAUUCUUUGCUGUACUCCAAGGAGAGAAACCUGUGUGACAGAAAUUAAGAAAACAAUAGAAUAAUGGAUAAACAGUCUAAAACUUUUGGUUUUAGAACAUCAUGUCUUAUUUAAUCUCCCGUCUAACCAUCUUCUCUCUAUCUCUUUCUCUUUGCAUGUCAGAUAAACUCUUGGAGUCACAUAUGUCAUCAGUCACACAUUUUGGGGUGUUAAUCUCCUAGGAGAAGGAGGUCAAAUAUGUAAGGUAUAAUACAUUUAUCAAUAUAAUGGUUGGCUGGUGAAGUUCAACUAAUUAAUAAAAGCAUUAAAACUAGAAUCA
RNAcentral lists this long non-coding RNA (1094 nucleotides) under Cyanistes caeruleus (blue tit). Its description in RNAcentral is "lncRNA (ENSCCEG00000013075.1)". Lineage: Eukaryota; Metazoa; Chordata; Aves; Passeriformes; Paridae. The record is from RNAcentral.